This 1152-nucleotide ribosomal RNA is filed under the name Triticum aestivum (bread wheat). Its description in RNAcentral is "partial small subunit ribosomal RNA". The record is from RNAcentral. Lineage: Eukaryota; Viridiplantae; Streptophyta; Magnoliopsida; Poales; Poaceae.
AUGGAUGUGGCAUCGGAAUUCUGUCUCUCGGGCACUGUAAAUGUCCGCCACUCUGAUGUUCAAUUUCAAGUCACAUCGGUUCAUGGUCCUACCGCCUUUGACAGGAAGGAUGGUUUCUUCGCCGAGCUUGUGGCCCUCAAACCAAACACCGACGUCAAAUGGCUAGCUUUGAGAGAUUUUAAUCAAAUCUACCGCGCAUGAGACAAAAACAAGAGGAAUGUUAAUAGGAGCCGGAUUAACCGCUUUCAUGCUGCACUGUAGCCUUGUGAGCUGAAGGAAAUUCAUCUCCAAAAUCGCCGCUUCACCUGGAGUAAUGAGAGGACGAGCCCAACAUUGUGUAAACUUGACUCAUUCUUUUGCAACACUGAUUGGGACAUUCACUUUGACUCCCACAUCCUGCAUGCUCUAUCAAGCUCUUUAUCUGAUCACUGCCCAUUGCUACUUGCCGACGACAGUGGCCCUCGACGGCUUCGCAGCUUCAAGUUUGAGAACUUUUUGACAAAGAUGUCGGGCUUCAUGGAGGUGGUGCAGCAGGCUUGGCAGGAGCCGUCUACCCACAUUGAGUCGUGCCAAAUUUUAUUUCAUAAGCUCCGGACAACAAGUUUGCACCUUUCCAGAUGGAGCAAGGGGAUGUUCUCCAAUGCUGAAGUUCAACUAGACGCAGCCUUACUGAUCAUCCUUCAGUUUGACAUCGCCCAGGACUCGCGGCCACUUCCCCCCGACGAGCAUGCUUUGCGGGAUCGGCUUAAGAAGAGGGUCACGAGCCUUGCCGUCCUUGAGAGAGCUCGCAAGAAGCAAUGCGCCCGCAUAGCCAACAUCAAGGAGGGAGACGCCAACACUAACUUUUUCCACCUAUGGGUCAUUGGGAGACGUCACAAAAACCACAUCCACCGGCUGAAGCACAAUAGUGGUUGGGUAACCGAUCACUUGGAGAAAGAACAUAUUGUACACGAGAAUUUCUCCAAUAUCAUUGGCAGAGGCCAUGUGAGGACCAAAGAUUUUAACUGGGAGAACCUCAAUUUGGGGCACACAGGCCUGGAGGGCAUUGAUACCCCCUUCACAAAGGAGACUAAGGGUGCAUUAACCAAUUGCCAGGUGACAAGGCACCUGGGCCGGAUGGUUUCACGUGUGGUUUUUUUCAAGCGUUACUAG